GGAGUUUCUCUGUUGUGGACAACUGGAGUGGGGUCGAGCCACUCAGCAUACAACCAGCACCAUCUCUGCCAUGGAUCGGUCGGGUAGAGAACUGACCUUAAGCCACCAUCUCCCGUGAAAGGUUUUUCACAGUGGAAAGACCUAUGGUACACGGUGGACUUCAACGCAUCUCAUGACCAUAUCCACAAAGGCAGCCGGCACACAUCAGGAGGAUAUCAAGGACACGGAGGCUAAAGAUCUUAGAGCAAGGGUAGAGACUUUAGUUUUUGAUUUGCUCCAUUUUUCCGGAUGAGGAUACGUGUCUGUAGAAUUCUGAUUUAAGGUAGGGUAAAUUUUGGUCAGCUUUGCCCUGACCUCCGAGGAGGCAUGUACUCUGGUUAGUUAGACACUAGACAGGGAGAUGCUCCGACUUCGCAAAGAAGAGUGGUGGGCCUGCAAAUUGUUCAACCUCAAC
Non-coding RNA from Misgurnus anguillicaudatus (oriental weatherfish), 454 nucleotides. The record is from RefSeq and is a predicted model, not a curated record. NCBI's taxonomy places the organism in Eukaryota, Metazoa, Chordata, Actinopteri, Cypriniformes, Cobitidae.